GCAUUGGGGUGUUCUUGGUGUGG
Molecule: non-coding RNA, 23 nt
Filed under: Arabidopsis thaliana (thale cress)
Lineage: Eukaryota; Viridiplantae; Streptophyta; Magnoliopsida; Brassicales; Brassicaceae
Source: RNAcentral